This is a non-coding RNA of Citrus sinensis (sweet orange), 143 nucleotides long. Lineage: Eukaryota; Viridiplantae; Streptophyta; Magnoliopsida; Sapindales; Rutaceae. The record is from Rfam.
AAGAGAGGAGUUUGUCAGCCUAGCCAAGGUGACUGCCCGGAACCAAAUUAAUGUUGUCAUCACAAAAAGUAAAUGACUGAAGCCACGUCUCACUCAUAUGGAGCGGGCAAGUCAUCCUUGGCUAUCAAACAUUACUUCUAUCU